AACAGUAAACUUUCAGGGGUCAUUUCUAUAGUUUAUUACUAGAGAACUUUCUCUGAUCCUAUAGAGUACUGGAAACCACAAGGAGGAGAUGUGACAUUCUCACCUGAGUGUGAAGCUGGAACUUGGUGCUGUUCAUUACAGCUGCCAUUGCCAUUGAUGAUCAUUCUUCUCUUCCUUUGGAGGAGUAAGAGGGUGAGGAUGUUAUCUGAGUAGU
Molecule: small nucleolar RNA, 214 nt
Filed under: Castor canadensis (American beaver)
Lineage: Eukaryota; Metazoa; Chordata; Mammalia; Rodentia; Castoridae
Description: Small nucleolar RNA U3 (ENSCCNG00000003697.1)
Rfam family: Small nucleolar RNA U3
About the family: Small nucleolar RNAs (snoRNAs) are involved in the processing and modification of rRNA in the nucleolus. There are two main classes of snoRNAs: the box C/D class, and the box H/ACA class. U3 snoRNA is a member of the box C/D class.
Source: Rfam by way of RNAcentral